GCGGAUGGGCUGGGCGCAGCCUGAUCCAGCAAUGCCGCGUGAGUGAAGAAGGCCUUCGGGUUGUAAAGCUCUUUCAGUUGAGAAGAAAAAAACGUGAAUAAUACUCACGUUUCAUGACGGUAUCAACAGAAGAAGCACCGGCUAACUACGUGCCAGCAGCCGCGGUAAU
RNAcentral lists this ribosomal RNA (169 nucleotides) under uncultured Nitrosomonas sp. RNAcentral describes it as "partial 16S ribosomal RNA". It matches the Rfam family "Bacterial small subunit ribosomal RNA", at positions 359 to 524 of the family's 1533-position model. The record is from RNAcentral. Lineage: Bacteria; Pseudomonadati; Pseudomonadota; Betaproteobacteria; Nitrosomonadales; Nitrosomonadaceae.